UUAUAAAUAAAAUCAGAGAAGAUGAAAAGUUUAAAAGCAAAGUUUUGAAAGAAACUUUUGAGAAAACGUUUAAGACCUUAAGAUAAACACAGAUCUGGGACAGAUCUAGAGAAAUCAGAAGAACCUCGAAAGGUUAGGAUUUCAGAAGAAACCUAGAAGUGAGAAAGGCCUGGAAAACUCGUGGAUUUAAGCCGAAGAAGUUAGACUCAUGCUUGAACGACCAUGAUACGUCGGAGUAAAGCUGGAGACGAACAUGGAAACCUGAAUCGAAGGAAACCUGGGUACAAAUCUUCAAGGUCAGGCCUUGAACCUUCAGAAAAGCAGUGUAUAAGAGCACCAAGGGGUGGGUGUAAGACCCCCAUAUUUUUGGUGCCACAGACUCCAAUGGAUCUCCGUCUAAGACGAAAAAAGGUGGAUAGGGUUUGAGAAUCCUCGAGAGAGAUUGAGAGAGUGGGGGGUUUGAG
This 464-nucleotide long non-coding RNA is filed under the name Nicotiana benthamiana. Its description in RNAcentral is "long non-coding RNA (NBEN_LNC013503)". The record is from RNAcentral. Lineage: Eukaryota; Viridiplantae; Streptophyta; Magnoliopsida; Solanales; Solanaceae.